GGAUUUUUCAGCUCCAAUUUAAUCUUAUGGGACCACCAUCGUAAAUACAAGAAGUCGGUGAUUCAUGCGUCAUCAUGCAGCUCACGACUGUCAUCCGUGUGUUGUGUAUAGCCUAUUAGGAGACCCACCUAGCUGGGAACUGAAGCCUCUUUCUAUCAGCCACAGGAAUGGGUUUGAAAAGAGAUUGCCCAGUGUCUUCAGAUGACUGCAGUCACGACUGACAACUUGGUGCAACUUCAUGAGAGAUGCUGAGCCACAACCACCCAGCUAAGUCAUGUUCACAUUCCUAACCCUCAGAAACUGUGUGAAAUAAUAAAUGUUUAAAUGUUUGUUGUAA
RNAcentral lists this long non-coding RNA (337 nucleotides) under Homo sapiens (human). RNAcentral describes it as "HSALNT0323230". The record is from RNAcentral. Lineage: Eukaryota; Metazoa; Chordata; Mammalia; Primates; Hominidae.